Molecule: ribosomal RNA, 506 nt
Filed under: uncultured bacterium
Lineage: Bacteria
Description: bacterial SSU rRNA
Rfam family: Bacterial small subunit ribosomal RNA
Source: RNAcentral
GACGAACGCUGGCGGCGUGCCUAAUACAUGCAAGUCGAACGCACUCUCGUUUAGAUUGAAGGAGCUUGCUCCUGAUUGAUAAACAUUUGAGUGAGUGGCGGACGGGUGAGUAACACGUGGGUAACCUGCCCUAAAGUGGGGGAUAACAUUUGGAAACAGAUGCUAAUACCGCAUAAAACCCAACACCGCAUGGUGUAGGGUUGAAAGAUGGUUUCGGCUAUCACUUUAGGAUGGACCCGCGGUGCAUUAGUUAGUUGGUGAGGUAAAGGCUCACCAAGACCGUGAUGCAUAGCCGACCUGAGAGGGUAAUCGGCCACACUGGGACUGAGACACGGCCCAGACUCCUACGGGAGGCAGCAGUAGGGAAUCUUCCACAAUGGACGAAAGUCUGAUGGAGCAACGCCGCGUGAGUGAAGAAGGUUUUCGGAUCGUAAAACUCUGUUGUUGGAGAAGAAUGUAUCUGAUAGUAACUGAUCAGGUAGUGACGGUAUCCAACCAGAAAGCCA